Molecule: microRNA, 22 nt
Filed under: Eptesicus fuscus (big brown bat)
Lineage: Eukaryota; Metazoa; Chordata; Mammalia; Chiroptera; Vespertilionidae
Description: efu-miR-4667
Source: miRBase by way of RNAcentral
UGGGGGCGGAAGGAGAACCCAA